This 1353-nucleotide ribosomal RNA is filed under the name Hydroporus gyllenhalii. RNAcentral describes it as "16S ribosomal RNA". The stretch from base 1059 to 1217 matches the Rfam family "Archaeal large subunit ribosomal RNA", at positions 2544 to 2703 of the family's 2987-position model. The record is from RNAcentral. Lineage: Eukaryota; Metazoa; Arthropoda; Insecta; Coleoptera; Dytiscidae.
AAAAAUAUUAUUAAUAGUUUUAGUUAAUAUAGAAUUAAUAAAAAUAAUUUUAAAUAUAAAUAUUUUAGUAUAUUUUAUAGAAAAAAUUUUUAUAAUUAUAGAGAAUUAGUAUUGUAAAAGAAAUAUAAAAUAAAUAAAUUAUUUUUUAAAAGUAAAAUUUAUUUUUUGUACCUUGUGUAUCAGGGUUAAUUAAAUAAAAAUUAUAAAAUUUAAUAUUCCCGAAUUUAAAAGAGAGAAUAAAUAAUUUUUUUUAUUGUAAAAAAAAUAUUUAAAAUUAUUUAUUAGUAAUGAAAAGUUAUUCGUUUUUAAAUAUAUCUGGUUUAUAUAGAAAUAAAUUGAAUUUAGUCUUUAAAAUUUUAUAAUUUAUUUUUUUAAAUAAAUAGAUUUUAUUGAUAAUAAUUAAAGGGAUAAGCUUUUAGUUAAAAUUUUAUAAUAUAGAAAAUAAAGAAAAUUAUAUAGGUUUAGAAAUAUCCAUUAUUAAUAAUUUGUUGUAAUUAUAUUUUUAGAUUUUAUUAUUUUAAAAAUAUUUAAAAUUUUUAUAUAUAAAUAAUAUUUAAUAUUUAAAUAUUAGAUUUAAUGAUUAAAUUAGUAUAUUUAUUUAUUUAAAUAAAAUUUUAUUAUAGAUUAUUAAAAGGAAUUCGGCAAAAUUUUUAUUCGCCUGUUUAAUAAAAACAUGUCCUUUAGUAAAUAUAAUUUAAGGUCUAACCUGCCCAUUGAUAAAGUUAAAAGGCCGCAGUAAUUUGACUGUGCAAAGGUAGCAUAAUCAUUAGUUUUUUAAUUAAAAGCUUGUAUGAAUGGUUGGACGAGAUAAAAUCUGUCUCUUAAUAAGAAAUAGAAUUUAAUUUUUAAGUUAAAAAGCUUAAAUAUAAAUAAAAGACGAGAAGACCCUAUAGAUCUUUAUAUAAUUUUUUUUAGUAUUAAUAAAGAAAAUUUUAUUUAUUAAUUUAGUUUAUAUUUUAUUGGGGUAAUAAAAAGAUUUAAUAAAUUCUUUUAAAUUAAACAAAGAUUAUUGAUUAUAUGAUCCAUUAUUAAUGAUUAAAAGAUUAAGUUACCUUAGGGAUAACAGCGUAAUUUUUUUAGAGAGUUCUUAUCAAUAAAAAAGUUUGCGACCUCGAUGUUGGAUUAAAAGUAAUCUUAGGUGCAGAAGUUUAGGAUUUUGGUCUGUUCGACCAUUAAAUUUUUACAUGAUCUGAGUUUAGACCGGCGUAAGCCAGGUUGGUUUCUAUCUUUAUUAAUUUAAUAUAUUUUAGUACGAAAGGACCAAAUAUAUAGUAUAUUUAUAUUUAUUUUUUUGAAUGAUAUUAUUACUUUGGCAGAUUAGUGUAAUGAAUUUAGAAUUCAAUAAUGUAAUAU